CCGACUGCCGGGCUAUAAUCUAUGAAACUGAGCCCAGAUCCAGCCAAUCAGUUCACUCCUCAUAACAAGUCUAACUGGCUCUGGAAAGCUGAAAGGGCUGCACUGGAGCAACGUAGAUGAGAUAUUCCACACAAUGAUCUGCUUAUCUAGAAUCACUUUGCCUGGAAAGACCAGAGAAAAAUCACUUUGUCUAAGGAAAGGACAGGUGAUCUGGCAAAACCACCACGGAACCUGGAGCAA
This is an unclassified non-coding RNA of Ictidomys tridecemlineatus (thirteen-lined ground squirrel), 240 nucleotides long. NCBI's taxonomy places the organism in Eukaryota, Metazoa, Chordata, Mammalia, Rodentia, Sciuridae. The record is from Ensembl.